Molecule: ribosomal RNA, 421 nt
Filed under: uncultured cyanobacterium
Lineage: Bacteria; Bacillati; Cyanobacteriota
Description: bacterial SSU rRNA
Rfam family: Bacterial small subunit ribosomal RNA
Source: RNAcentral
GAAUUUUCCGCAAUGGGCGAAAGCCUGACGGAGCAAUACCGCGUGAGGGAUGACGGCCUAUGGGUUGUAAACCUCUUUUCUCAAGGAAGAAGAUCUGACGGUACUUGAGGAAUAAGCCACGGCUAAUUCCGUGCCAGCAGCCGCGGUAAUACGGGAGUGGCAAGCGUUAUCCGGAAUUAUUGGGCGUAAAGCGUCCGCAGGCGGCCUUUCAAGUCUGCUGUUAAAGCGUGGAGCUUAACUCCAUUAAGGCAGUGGAAACUGUUGGGCUUGAGUGUGGUAGGGGCAGAGGGAAUUCCCGGUGUAGCGGUGAAAUGCGUAGAUAUCGGGAAGAACACCAGUGGCGAAGGCGCUCUGCUGGGCCGUAACUGACGCUCAUGGACGAAAGCCAGGGGAGCGAAAGGGAUUAGAUACCCCUGUAGUC